GACGAACGCUGGCGGCGUGCCUAAUACAUGCAAGUCGAGCGGAACUGGGGGAGCUUGCUCCUUCCAGUUUAGCGGCGGACGGGUGAGUAACACGUGGGCAACCUGCCCUGCAGAUCGGGAUAACUCCGGGAAACCGGUGCUAAUACCGAAUAGUUUGGCGCCUCUCCUGAGGCGCUACGGAAAGACGGUUUCGGCUGUCACUGCAGGAUGGGCCCGCGGGGCAUUAGCUAGUUGGUGGGGUAACGGCCCACCAAGGCGACGAUGCGUAGCCGACCUGAGAGGGUGACCGGCCACACUGGGACUGAGACACGGCCCAGACUCCUACGGGAGGCAGCAGUAGGGAAUCUUCCGCAAUGGACACAAGUCUGACGGAGCAACGCCGCGUGAGUGACGAAGGUUUUCGGAUCGUAAAACUCUGUUGUGAGGGAAGAACACGUACCAACUAACUAUUGGUACCUUGACGGUACCUCACCAGAAAGCCACGGCUAACUACGUGCCAGCCGCCGCGGUAA
This 512-nucleotide ribosomal RNA is filed under the name uncultured bacterium. Its description in RNAcentral is "partial 16S ribosomal RNA". It matches the Rfam family "Bacterial small subunit ribosomal RNA", at positions 28 to 523 of the family's 1533-position model. The record is from RNAcentral.